RNAcentral lists this small nucleolar RNA (97 nucleotides) under Drosophila yakuba. Its description in RNAcentral is "snoRNA:GE27152". The record is from RNAcentral. Lineage: Eukaryota; Metazoa; Arthropoda; Insecta; Diptera; Drosophilidae.
GGCUGCAGGCUGCAGGGAUGAUGAUGAAAUGAGUUUGGAUGCCAAGGUGCGGCACAGCAUCCCAGUGCGCCAAUGGACCGUGUUGGGUACUGAUUCC